This 493-nucleotide ribosomal RNA is filed under the name uncultured bacterium. Its description in RNAcentral is "partial 16S ribosomal RNA". It matches the Rfam family "Bacterial small subunit ribosomal RNA", at positions 29 to 523 of the family's 1533-position model. The record is from RNAcentral.
AUUGAACGCUGGCGGCAUGCUUUACACAUGCAAGUCGAACGGUAACAGGUUAAGCUGACGAGUGGCGAACGGGUGAGUAAUGCAUCGGAACGUGCCCGGUCGUGGGGGAUAACGCAGCGAAAGCUGCGCUAAUACCGCAUACGAUCUGAGGAUGAAAGCGGGGGACCGUAAGGCCUCGCGCGAUCGGAGCGGCCGAUGUCAGAUUAGGUAGUUGGUGGGGUAAGGGCUCACCAAGCCAACGAUCUGUGGCUGGUCCGAGAGGACGACCAGCCGCACUGGGACUGAGACACGGCCCAGACUCCUACGGGAGGCAGCAGUGGGGAAUUUUGGACAAUGGGCGAAAGCCUGAUCCAGCAAUGCCGCGUGCAGGAAGAAGGCCUUCGGGUUGUAAACUGCUUUUGUACGGAGCGAAAAGGCCUCCUCUAAUACAGGGGGCUCAUGACGGUACCGUAAGAAUAAGCACCGGCUAACUACGUGCCAGCCGCCGCAGUAA